This 700-nucleotide ribosomal RNA is filed under the name uncultured fungus. Its description in RNAcentral is "eukaryotic LSU rRNA". It matches the Rfam family "Eukaryotic large subunit ribosomal RNA", at positions 48 to 771 of the family's 3401-position model. Lineage: Eukaryota; Fungi. The record is from RNAcentral.
AGGUGGAAGAAACAACCGGGAUUGCCUCAGUAACGGCGAGUGAAGCGGCAAGAGCUCAAAUUUGAAAUCUGGCCCCUCCGGGGUCCGAGUUGUAAUUUGCAGAGGAUGCUUCGGGUGCGGCCCCUGUCUAAGUGCCCUGGAACGGGCCGUCAGAGAGGGUGAGAAUCCCGUCUUGGGCAGGGUGCCCGUGCCCGUGUGAAGCUCCUUCGACGAGUCGAGUUGUUUGGGAAUGCAGCUCAAAAUGGGUGGUAAAUUUCAUCUAAAGCUAAAUACCGGCCGGAGACCGAUAGCGCACAAGUAGAGUGAUCGAAAGAUGAAAAGCACUUUGAAAAGAGAGUUAAACAGCACGUGAAAUUGUUGAAAGGGAAGCGCUUGCAACCAGACUCGGCCUCGGGGUUCAGCCAGCAUUCGUGCUGGUGUACUUCCCCGGGGCCGGGCCAGCGUCGGUUUGGGCGGCCGGUCAAAGGCCCCAGGAAUGUAUCGUCCUCCGGGACGUCUUAUAGCCUGGGGUGCAAUGCGGCCAGCCUGGACCGAGGAACGCGCUUCGGCACGGACGCUGGCGUAAUGGUCGCAAACGACCCGUCUUGAAACACGGACCAAGGAGUCUAACAUCUACGCGAGUGUUCGGGUGUCAAACCCGUACGCGCAGUGAAAGCGAACGGAGGUGGGAGCCCCCCCGGGGCGCACCAUCGACCGAUCC